RNAcentral lists this ribosomal RNA (396 nucleotides) under uncultured bacterium. Its description in RNAcentral is "partial 16S ribosomal RNA". It matches the Rfam family "Bacterial small subunit ribosomal RNA", at positions 338 to 732 of the family's 1533-position model. The record is from RNAcentral.
CCUACGGGUGGCUGCAGUGAGGAAUAUUGGUCAAUGGGCGAGAGCCUGAACCAGCCAAGUCGCGUGAGGGAAGACGGUCCUAUGGAUUGUAAACCUCUUUUGCCGGGGAGUAAAAUGCGGUAUGUGUACUGCAUUGAGAGUACCUGGAGAAAAAGCAUCGGCUAACUCCGUGCCAGCAGCCGCGGUAAUACGGAGGAUGCGAGCGUUAUCCGGAUUUAUUGGGUUUAAAGGGGGCGAAGGCGGCGGGUUAAGUCAGCGGUAAAAUUUUGGGGCUCAACCCCGAAAUGCCGUUGAAACUGGCAUGCUAGAGUGGACGAGAGGUAUGCGGAAUGCGUGGUGUAGCGGUGAAAUGCAUAGAUAUCACGCAGAACUCCGAUUGCGAAGGCAGCAUGCCGG